Peromyscus maniculatus bairdii (prairie deer mouse) is the source of this 1283-nucleotide non-coding RNA. The record is from RefSeq and is a predicted model, not a curated record. Lineage: Eukaryota; Metazoa; Chordata; Mammalia; Rodentia; Cricetidae.
CCCGCAGCUCCCCAUGCAGCCAGCCCCGGGCAGCCCCUGCGCGAACCUGCCGGACCACGUCCCCCGGCGUCAGGCUCAGCUCGUCCUGCGUCUGCGCACGGAAGGAAGCCAAAGUCCUUGCUCCUUGCACUACAGGGAAGUUUGGUUCUUGGCUAUUAAAAGCAGAGAAUGCAGGGACUCCACUGAGAACAAGCGCAUCUCCCCGGGAAAGAAGAGCAGACUGUAGGUUUCCUGAAACUCGUGUGGGAGGUCCCUACCACCCCAGGGCGGCUCAUGCAGGCGUGAGGACGACAACGAACACAGUCCAUCCACAUCGGUCACUUCGUUUAUUGUUUUUAUUUGCAGGAGGAGUUGAAACAAAAACUUAAGGGUGUUUUUCUUUUCUUCCCUAAACAUGAAUCAUUCAAGUAAAACCAACUUAACUAUAGAAAUUAGCAAAGUAAGGGGAAGUAGUAACAACCCACGAGCAAAGGCUGGGGGAAGAGGAGUCGCAGUCGGCAUAGACCCCGUGCACAGAGACCAUAUGCACAGAGACCACGUGCACAGAGACCACGUGCACAGAGACCACGUGCACACAGACCGUAUGCUGUGUUCACCUGCUCGGGACCGCCUCCCCGGAAGGCAAGCACAAGGACCCUUUUAUGAGGAUGUUCCCCCCCAAACAUCUGAAAGUGUUUCAACUCAAAACUUAAGGUUAAAACAAACAAACAAACCAAAAACACACAACCCCACAAACCACCCAGCCAUAACCACCAUCCUUAAUCGAUCAUAGGAGUUUCUUUUCAUUUUAUAAAAAGAUCAAUAAAAAAUAUUGAAAAAAUUCUUUUCUCAUCUUAUAUUUGUAAAGAUAAUAGAAUUCAGAAGUUUCUUAGAAAACAGACCAGAAACUGCCCUCCAGUUCCCUCCCUUUGCUGAGGACCAGCAGGACUACAAAGUGGAGGAUAGUGGCUGCUGGUGGACAAUGGGAGCCCAGCCCAGGAGAAACCAGACAAGAGCAGGGUGCAAGGGGAGGCUGGGAGCAACUCCACGUGACACACGGCUGUGCAGAAGGGGACGCAGGGUGGUCAGAAAGGCCUUAAACUCCUCCGUGACAUACAAAACCGGUUUCUACAAAGAUCCAAGCAGUUUGGUCCCAAACUGAGGCAAACACUUCAAUGUUUAUUCACAUGCUUUGUUUUCUCUUAAGAAUCAAAGUUGCCCAAAUUAAAUCUUUCUGCUAAUAUCACUACAUAUGCCUUAAAAAGAAAGAAAAAAAAAAGGAAAGAAAAAAUAUAAAGGAUUUU